RNAcentral lists this ribosomal RNA (151 nucleotides) under uncultured bacterium. RNAcentral describes it as "partial 16S ribosomal RNA". It matches the Rfam family "Bacterial small subunit ribosomal RNA", at positions 355 to 504 of the family's 1533-position model. The record is from RNAcentral.
UGGGGAAUAUUGGACAAUGGGCGCAAGCCUGAUCCAGCCAUGCCGCGUGGGUGAUGAAGGCCCUAGGGUUGUAAACUGCUUUUACACCGGAGAAAACCCCCUUUCGUGAAAGGGGCUGAUAGUAUGGUGAGAAUAAGCAUCGGCUAACUUC